GGAUUCCCUUAGUAACGGCGAGUGAACAGGGAAGAGCCCAGCACCGAAGCCUGUGGCCAGUUGGUCACUAGGCAAUGUGGUGUUCAGGUCAUCUCGCAGUGGUACUGCUUCACCCUAAGUCCAGAAAUGAGUACGGCAUAUGGACAUGGCCCAAGGAGGGUGAAAGGCCCGUGGGGGUGAAGAAGCAGUUCAGACAGUGCCACUCUGAGUAGACCUUGGAGUCGGGUUGUUUGUGAAUGCAGCCCAAAGUGGGUGGUAAACUCCAUCCAAGGCUAAAUACUUACACGAGUCCGAUAGCGAACAAGUACCGUGAGGGAAAGUUGAAAAGUACUUUGAAGAGAGAGUAAACAGUGCGUGAAACCGCUCAGAGGUAAACAGGUGGAGUUGAACUGCAAGCAUUGAGAAUUCAGCUGGUGAACGUGAUAUGAGCUUGGAUAUAAUGGUUGUCCUUCGGGGUCUGUUUAACCGCAGGUCUUUGCCGUUCGGCGGAGAUUCACGAUGCACUUAUCAAGUGCUGUGAGCCUUGUUGGUAUCGAGCCUGUUCGCCAGUGCACUUUCUCAUUGUGGUCACCACGACCGGCGCUGCUGUCUGGCUGUUGUGGUCAAACCGGCAUGUCUUAGUUCUUGUAGCUUUGGUAUGUCGGCGUGGCAGGUAACUCGUUGGCUCGCGUGUGAGUUUCGGCUUGUGCGCGUUCGGUCUUCGAGUGUAACUAGCUGGCUACAUCGGUUCUGUGCAGUGUGUCGGAGACGGCGGCUUCUGGUGUGUACAUGUGUGCUUAGUCUUUCAGUGGGUUCGUGUCUGGCUGCUUGUUGCCUGUAUUUGCAGGCCCUGUGGCGGCACGGAUUCAUCUGUUGGGCGGCUGCACGUGUGUUACCGAAUCAGGGCCUACAGUCUGUGGUGUAGUGGUAGACUAUCCACCUGACCCGUCUUGAAACACGGACCAAGGAGAGUAACAUGUGCGCGAGUCAUUGGGCGUUACGAAACCCAAAGGCGAAGUGAAAGUAAAUGUUCGACUUGUUCGAAUUGAGGUGAGAUCCUGUCGUUUCUCAUGCGCGGUACCACCAAGCUGCGAGCGGCAGGCGCAUCACCGGCCCGUCUCAUAACGUGAGUGUGAUUUUCGAAUUGUAUGUCGUUGGGGCGGAGCAUGAGCGCACAUGUUGAGACCCGAAAGAUGGUGAACUAUGCUUGCGCAGGUUGAAGCCAGAGGAAACUCUGGUGGAGGACCGCAGCGAUUCUGACGUGCAAAUCGAUCGUCAAACGUGAGUAUAGGGGCGAAAGACUAAUCGAACCAUCUAGUAGCUGGUUCCCUCCGAAGUUUCCCUCAGGAUAGCUGGCAUUCUGAGAAAUAAACAGUUUUAUCCGGUAAAGCGAAUGAUUAGAGGCAUUGGGGACGAAACGUUCUCAACCUAUUCUCAAACUUCCAAUGGGUGAGAAGCUUAACUCGCUUAAACGGAGUUAGGCGUUGAAUGUGAGUGCCAAGUGGGCCAUUUUUGGUAAGCAGAACUGGCGCUGUGGGAUGAACCAAACGUUCGGCUAAGGUGCCUAACACAACGCUCAUCAGAUACCACAAAAGGUGU
Molecule: ribosomal RNA, 1578 nt
Filed under: Schikhobalotrema sparisomae
Lineage: Eukaryota; Metazoa; Platyhelminthes; Trematoda; Plagiorchiida; Haplosplanchnidae
Description: eukaryotic LSU rRNA
Rfam family: Eukaryotic large subunit ribosomal RNA
Source: RNAcentral